GUCCUUUAAAAAAUAUGCAAUAAAAUUGGAAUGAUGCGGAGAAGAUUAUCAUGAUCCCGCACAAGAAUGACACACAAAAAUCGAAGAAUAUGCAAAAUUAA
This is a small nuclear RNA of Lycium ferocissimum, 101 nucleotides long. Lineage: Eukaryota; Viridiplantae; Streptophyta; Magnoliopsida; Solanales; Solanaceae. The record is from RefSeq and is a predicted model, not a curated record.